RNAcentral lists this ribosomal RNA (295 nucleotides) under uncultured bacterium. RNAcentral describes it as "partial 16S ribosomal RNA". It matches the Rfam family "Bacterial small subunit ribosomal RNA", at positions 335 to 622 of the family's 1533-position model. The record is from RNAcentral.
ACUCCUACGGGAGGCAGCAGUGGGGAAUAUUGCACAAUGGGGGAAACCCUGAUGCAGCCAUGCCGCGUGUGUGAAGAAGGCCUUCGGGUUGUAAAGCACUUUCAGCGAGGAGGAAAGGGUGUAAGUUAAUACCUUACAUCUGUGACGUUACUCGCAGAAGAAGCACCGGCUAACUCCGUGCCAGCAGCCGCGGUAAUACGGAGGGUGCGAGCGUUAAUCGGAAUUACUGGGCGUAAAGCGUGCGCAGGCGGUUUGUUAAGCGAGAUGUGAAAGCCCCGGCUCAAGCCUGGGAACC